Long non-coding RNA from Dioscorea cayenensis subsp. rotundata (Guinea yam), 682 nucleotides. RefSeq lists it as uncharacterized. The record is from RefSeq and is a predicted model, not a curated record. NCBI's taxonomy places the organism in Eukaryota, Viridiplantae, Streptophyta, Magnoliopsida, Dioscoreales, Dioscoreaceae. The transcript has 3 exons.
UCUUUUACUCUUAUACAAAGCAUAUCAAUGGGCUUGCUGCAAACCUUGAUGAAAAAGAAGCAAAUGAUAUCUUGAAAGCAAAUGAGAUCUUGAGUGUUGUAUCAGUGUUCCCAAAUAGAGGUCACAAGCUUCAUACUGCUCGUUCUUGGGAAUUUCUUGGUUUUGAGAAGGAUGACAGAGCAAUGGCAAAAUCACUGUGGUUUAAGACCUAAGUUGGGAGUGUGGCCAGAAUCUGGAAGCUUUAAGGAUGAGGACAUUGGUUGUGUUCCAUCAAAGUGGAAGUGAAUUUGACAGUUGCUAGUGUUUGUUCUCAAUGUUAAGAUUGGUGUUUUUGUGUUUCAUUGCUUGAACUCAUAGUGUUAAGGAUGUUUAUUCUAAUUUGCUCUCUUAUUUUUUUUGUUUGUUGUGUCAAGGAUUGCUCGUAAUGCUAGUCCUGCGUCCAUUAUUGCAAGUCUAAAUGCUUUUGAUUCUGCAUUCACAACUCAAUCAACACUUGUACAAGAAGUGAAGACAAGGACUGAAAGUGAAAAAGUGAUGUAGUCAACUACUGGAGAGUGGUCAGAGUAUGUUCUCCAACAAAUGAUGUUAAGCAUGUUUUUGUAGUAAAAGUUUUAGUCUGAUUUGUGAUUUUAGGGCAUAAUGUUUGGUGUAGGUUUGAAUGGUUUCUAGUAUUUAUUAUCAU